UACGGAGGGUGCGAGCGUUGUCCGGAAUCACUGGGCGUAAAGGGCGCGUAGGCGGCUUCUCAAGCGUGUGGUGAAAGUCCGGGGCUCAACCCCGGAUCGGCCGUGCGGACUGGGGAGCUCGAGUUCUGUAGAGGCGGGUGGAAUUCCGGGUGUAGCGGUGGAAUGCGUAGAGAUCCGGAAGAACACCGGUGGCGAAGGCGGCCCGCUGGGCAGAGACUGACGCUGAGGUGCGAAAGCGUGGGGAGCAAACAGG
RNAcentral lists this ribosomal RNA (253 nucleotides) under uncultured bacterium. Its description in RNAcentral is "partial 16S ribosomal RNA". It matches the Rfam family "Bacterial small subunit ribosomal RNA", at positions 524 to 776 of the family's 1533-position model. The record is from RNAcentral.